This 122-nucleotide ribosomal RNA is filed under the name Nocardia concava. The record is from RNAcentral. Lineage: Bacteria; Bacillati; Actinomycetota; Actinomycetes; Mycobacteriales; Nocardiaceae.
UUACGGCGGCUAUAGCGGUGGGGAAACGCCCGGUCCCAUUCCGAACCCGGAAGCUAAGGCCACCUGCGCCAAUGGUACUGCACUCGACAGGGUGUGGGAGAGUAGGACACCGCCGGAACAUC